AGUCUUAUAUUCAAUGAAUGAUUUUAGAUUGCAAAUCUAAAGGUAAAGAUUAAACUUUUAAGGCUU
RNAcentral lists this transfer RNA (66 nucleotides) under Protohermes sinuolatus. Its description in RNAcentral is "tRNA-Cys". It matches the Rfam family "tRNA". From Rfam's summary of the family: Transfer RNA (tRNA) molecules are approximately 80 nucleotides in length. Their secondary structure includes four short double-helical elements and three loops (D, anti-codon, and T loops). Lineage: Eukaryota; Metazoa; Arthropoda; Insecta; Megaloptera; Corydalidae. The record is from RNAcentral.